CCCUGCCAUUUGUACACACCGCCCGUCGCUCCUACCGAUUUCGAGUGGUUCGGUGAACCUUUUGGACUGCGUCGACCUCGGUCGAUGUGGGAAAUCAAGUAAACCAUAUCACUUAGAGGAAGGAGAAGUCGUAA
RNAcentral lists this ribosomal RNA (134 nucleotides) under uncultured eukaryote. Its description in RNAcentral is "partial small subunit ribosomal RNA". It matches the Rfam family "Eukaryotic small subunit ribosomal RNA", at positions 1651 to 1794 of the family's 1831-position model. The record is from RNAcentral.